This is an RNA transcript of Solanum stenotomum, 2343 nucleotides long. It is a transcript of the gene named ubiquitin domain-containing protein DSK2b-like, with no coding region annotated. The transcript is spliced from 8 exons. The record is from RefSeq and is a predicted model, not a curated record. NCBI's taxonomy places the organism in Eukaryota, Viridiplantae, Streptophyta, Magnoliopsida, Solanales, Solanaceae.
UAUAAUAAAAUGCAAUAAAAGAGUCUCUGUCAUUUACUUUUCUUUAUUAUCUUCGCUUCACCAGUUUCGCCCUGAAAUCGUGAAAUCAUCUGAAUUAGGGCUUCUUCUUCAUUUUCCCGUUUCCGAUUAAUCGGCGAUUUCGAUUUCAUCACUUUUCAUCUCAGAUUUCAGUUCGCCAUUGAUUAGUCAACAGGCCUCCCGAAUUGUUGAAGGGGAGGGUUUUGAGUAUGGGCGGCGGUGAUACUAGUGCUGCGGCGGCAAAAGAGGAUAACGAGAAUAACGCCACCGGCGAUCAAAAAGUUAUAAUCAAUGUCCGAUGUUCCAACGGCUCCAAAUUUACCGUUCAGGUGGCUCUAGACUCAAGUGUUGGAUCCUUCAAGUCCACCCUUGCUCAGCACUCCGACAUUCCUGCCGAGCAGCAGAGAUUGAUCUAUAAAGGCCGGAUCUUAAAGGACGAGCAAACCCUAACAAGCUACGGUCUUGAGGCAGAUCAUACCGUCCAUUUGGUUCGAGGUUUUGCACCAGCUGCCGCUGUUAAUACUGCAAGUGCAGGCAAUACUGGAAAUCCAAAUGCUAAUCAGAAUGCACCCUCUGAUGCCGCUCCAAAUGUAGGUGGACCAUUUUCUGGAUCGGGCCUUGGUCCUGGUCUUGGAAGUGGAGGCGGUGGCGGUGGUCUAUUUGGAGCUGGCCUUCCGGAUUUCGAGCAGGUCCAGCAGCAGUUGACCCAAAACCCCAAUAUGAUGAGAGACAUGCUGAAUAUGCCUCUCGUUCAGAAUUUAAUGAAUAACCCAGAAAUCAUCCGUAACAUGAUUAUGAACAAUCCUCAAAUGCGAGAGAUCAUGGAUCGUAAUCCAGAGCUUGCUCACGUUCUCAAUGAUCCUGCUACUCUUCGUCAGACAAUGGAGGCUGCACGAAACCCUGAACUUAUGCGUGAGAUGAUGCGUAAUACUGACAGGGCAAUGAGCAAUAUUGAAUCUUCUCCCGAGGGAUUUAACAUGCUGAGGCGCAUGUAUGAAAAUGUCCAAGAGCCUCUCCUAAAUGCAACAACUAUGGGUGGAGAUGCAAGAAGUGAUGUGGGUUCAAACCCGUUCGCAGCUCUUUUGGGGGUUCAGGGUGCGGGGCAAGGCAGAAACCAGUCAACUAAUCCUCCAACUACUGGUUCUGAGGCUACUGCUAACACACCUGCUCCAAAUACUAAUCCACUUCCUAAUCCUUGGGCUUCUGCUGGCACUGGAGCUGGCCAAACUAAUACCACUGCUAGGUCAAACACUGCUGGGGAAACCAGGGCACCACCGCCUGCUGGCUUAGGUGGACUUGCACUCCCAGAUCUUGAGGGAAUGCUGGGUGGCAUGCCAGAUGCUGCUUCACUAAAUCAGAUGAUGCAAAACCCAGCCGUCUCACAGAUGAUGCAGUCUCUCCUCUCAAAUCCUCAAUACAUGAACCAGAUGCUUGGGAUGAAUCCACAGCUAAGGAAUAUGCUUGAUUCCAACUCCCAUCUUCGAGAAAUGAUGCAAAACCCUGAAUUUAUUCGGCAGAUGACUUCCCCUGAGACAAUGCAGUCACUUUACAAUGCAAAAAAAGAUGGUUUAUUGUCUCUAUGAUGUCUUUUUCCCUCUUGCAGACCGGGUCAGAAUGUGGGAGGUGCAGGUAAAUUUUAUGCCCUCGAAUACCUCAAACCCAAACCCCUACUGCAAUGUUACCAGUGGAGUGUGUAGCCCUUGACAACAACAUGGGAAUGGAAAUGCUGAUGAAUAUGUUUGGUGGACUUGGGUCAGGGGGUUUGGGUGGUGUCCCCAACAGAUCCAAUGUGCCUCCGGAGGAAUUAUAUGCCACUCAGCUAGCACAGUUGCAAGAUAUGGGUUUCUUUGACACUCAAGAAAAUAUCAGAGCAUUGGUUGCCACUGCAGGCAAUGUUCAUGCCGCAGUAGAGAGACUUCUUGGAAAUCUUGGACAGUAAUGUUUUAUCAUUCUCUUUCAUAUGACUAGCUUCUGAUGGGGACAAGAUGAAGUCUGUUAAUUUGGACAUGGCAAGCGUCAAAUCUUAAUAGGAAGGAGCAUUAAGUUUUAGUUGGAAAUAUUUGUUUUGGAGUUUAUUUUUGGAAGGACUCUCAACUGUUGUCUUCCAUUUUCUUUUCCCUUGGAGGCAAAAAAAAAAAGGAAAUUGAUGGAAGAACAAGUUGCUUAGUCCCCUGUACAUACGAUGUUAAAAUUGGUCCCAUAAAUUGUUUGGUAUAUUAUAAUUUGUACUUCACUUGUGUCUAGCAUCUCUUUUUUGAUAUGCUAGGCUAAAUGGAUUUGCUUGAUGCUUAGUUAAUUCAGCUGUAGCUGUCUGUAUUCUGCUUG